Helianthus annuus (common sunflower) is the source of this 600-nucleotide long non-coding RNA. RefSeq lists it as uncharacterized. The transcript has 2 exons. NCBI's taxonomy places the organism in Eukaryota, Viridiplantae, Streptophyta, Magnoliopsida, Asterales, Asteraceae. The record is from RefSeq and is a predicted model, not a curated record.
GGUGGGGGGGGGGGGGGGGUUAGAUUUUUUUUAGGUUUUUUUAACUAUUUUAUGUUGUGUUCACAUUGUUUCUCAAGGUUCUCACAAUAAGGGUGGUUCUCGCAUGAGCCCCUCCCUAUGUAUGUAUGUAUGUAUGUAUGUAUGUAUGUAUGUAUGUAUGUAUGUAUGUAUGUAUGUAUGUAUGUAUGUAUGUAUGUAUGUAUGUAUGUAUGUAUGUAUGUAUGUAUGUAUGUAUGUAUGUAUGUAUGUAUGUAUGUAUGUAUGUAUGUAUGUAUGUAUGUAUGUAUGUAUGUAUGUAUGUAUGUAUGUAUGUAUGUGUGUGUGUGUGUGUGAGGAGAGAGAAAUUGAGGCCCGUGAAGAUCGUCGAGUGGGAGCCGAUGUUGACGCGCCGGAGGAGUGGGGGACCGGCGACGGGCCAGGACGGGUCUAAGCCGGCCACCAUACCGUCUGGUCUAAGAAGGUUUAAUUUUAACCACUAGAAUCGGUCCUGUUUAUCAAAUGCUUUACGCUGGUGGAUCUUUUCAUUUGCCACAAAGCGCAAGUCAUUAAAAAGUUAGAUGGUUGUGACUUUUUAAAAAAGGAGAAGCAAUCCCAAACACC